UACGGAAGGCAGCAGUGGGGAAUAUUGCACAAUGGGCGAAAGCCUGAUGCAGCUAUGCCGCGUGUAUGAAGAAGGCCUUAGGGUUGUAAAGUACUUUCAUCGGGGAGGAAAAACAAAACUAAUAAUUUUAUUUCUUGACGUUACCCGAAAAAGAAGCACCGGCUAACUCCGUGCCAGCAGCCGCGGUAAUACGGAGGGUGCUAGCGUUAAUCAGAAUUACUGGGCGUAAAGAGCACGUAGGUGGUUUUUUAGUCAGAUGUGAAAUCCCUGGGCUUAACCUAGGAACUGCAUUUUGAAACUGAAAUACUAGAGUAUCGUAGAGGGAGGUAGAAUUCUAGGUGUAGCGGUGAAAUGCGUAGAUAUCUGGAGGAAUACCUGUGGCGAAAGCGGCCUCCUAAACGAAUACUGACACUGAGGUGCGAAAGCGUGGGGAGCAAACAGGGAUUAGAUACC
This 453-nucleotide ribosomal RNA is filed under the name uncultured bacterium. RNAcentral's name for it is "bacterial SSU rRNA". It matches the Rfam family "Bacterial small subunit ribosomal RNA", at positions 340 to 786 of the family's 1533-position model. The record is from RNAcentral.